UCAGGUAAUGCUGGGACGUCUAAAGGAACUGCCUACGCAAGUAGUGAGGAAGGCGGGGAGUGACGUCAAAUCAGCACGGCCCUUACGUCCAGGGCUACACACGUGCUACAAUGGCCGAUACAGAGGGCAGCUACCUGGUGACAGGAUGCAAAUCUCCAAAGUCGGUCUCAGUUCGGAUCGGAGUCUGCAACCCGACUCCGUGAAGUUGGAUUCGCUAGUAAUCGCGCAUCAGCCAUGGCGCGGUGAAUACGUUCCCGGGCCUU
Molecule: ribosomal RNA, 263 nt
Filed under: uncultured Sphingobacteriales bacterium
Lineage: Bacteria; Pseudomonadati; Bacteroidota; Sphingobacteriia; Sphingobacteriales
Description: partial 16S ribosomal RNA
Rfam family: Bacterial small subunit ribosomal RNA
Source: RNAcentral